RNAcentral lists this ribosomal RNA (447 nucleotides) under uncultured bacterium. Its description in RNAcentral is "partial 16S ribosomal RNA". It matches the Rfam family "Bacterial small subunit ribosomal RNA", at positions 329 to 793 of the family's 1533-position model. The record is from RNAcentral.
GCCCAGACUCCUACGGGAGGCAGCAGUGGGGAAUAUUGCACAAUGGGGGAAACCCUGAUGCAGCGACGCCGCGUGAGCGAUGAAGUAUUUCGGUAUGUAAAGCUCUAUCAGCAGGGAAGAAAAUGACGGUACCUGACUAAGAAGCCCCGGCUAACUACGUGCCAGCAGCCGCGGUAAUACGUAGGGGGCAAGCGUUAUCUGGAUUUACUGGGUGUAAAGGGAGCGUAGACGGCAAUGCAAGCCAGAUGUGAAAGCCCGGGGCUCAACCCCGGGACUGCAUUUGGAACUGUGUAGCUGGAGUGUCGGAGAGGCAGGCGGAAUUCCUAGUGUAGCGGUGAAAUGCGUAGAUAUUAGGAGGAACACCAGUGGCGAAGGCGGCCUGCUGGACGAUGACUGACGUUGAGGCUCGAAAGCGUGGGGAGCAAACAGGAUUAGAUACCCUCGUAG